GACUCACGGCAACGGAUAUCUCGGCUCUCGCAUCGAUGAAGAACGUAGCGAAGUGCGAUACUUGGUGUGAAUUGCAGAAUCCCGUGAACCAUCGAGUUUUUGAACGCAAGUUGCGCCCAAAGCUCUUUGCCAAGGGCAUGCCUGCCUGGGCGUCACGUAUCA
This 162-nucleotide ribosomal RNA is filed under the name Utricularia geminiloba. RNAcentral's name for it is "5.8S ribosomal RNA". It matches the Rfam family "5.8S ribosomal RNA". From Rfam's summary of the family: 5.8S ribosomal RNA (5.8S rRNA) is a component of the large subunit of the eukaryotic ribosome. It is transcribed by RNA polymerase I as part of the 45S precursor that also contains 18S and 28S rRNA. The record is from RNAcentral. Lineage: Eukaryota; Viridiplantae; Streptophyta; Magnoliopsida; Lamiales; Lentibulariaceae.